CAAAUCAUAAUCUCUUGGUUAUGAGCCAUCAACAAUCUGGUUCAAAACACUCCCCCUUGGAUGCCAUAAUCAUUUAGAGUUUGUAAUGUGCUUUAAUGUUACCUCUGUUCAAAAACGCGGCCGAUUUGCCGCGUUUGCGGCCGUCAAAACGCUGAUCGGAGACCAACCGUCGCGAUUUUACACAACGCGGCACAAAAAUCGGUCGACCAUUUAUUGGCCGUGAAAUAAUUAUUAAGCGCUAUUAAAAGCAUUAAUCACCGAUUUAUAACAAACAAAAUUGUUUUAGGCCCAA
This 292-nucleotide long non-coding RNA is filed under the name Brassica napus (rape). RNAcentral's name for it is "long non-coding RNA (BNAP_LNC010437)". The record is from RNAcentral. Lineage: Eukaryota; Viridiplantae; Streptophyta; Magnoliopsida; Brassicales; Brassicaceae.